AGCUCGGGUGUGAUGUGUAAAGAUGUAUGCAGUAGCCAUGAUUACCAACUGUUGUAUAUACCCCUAGAUAUGCAACACACUUUUGGUAGACAGUAAUGCAUGGGCGUCUACGCACCACGCCACUGGUAUGAAGCUGAAAGUACGACAUGCAGGAAAUGUAAUUCUAUAGGAGAGGUCGGGUGGCCUGGGGACUUGUAGGUGCAAGAAACGGGAUCCCCACACGUCAAGUGCCGUCUAUUAUACACCUUUACUCUCCAUAUACACCGUCACUCUCGACCUGUCCGCCAAGCUGAAACGGUCUCAAGCUCUUCUUUCGCUAUGACUCUCUUGCCUUCUCGGUUGACCUUGAUCGUUGUCGUUGUCUACACACUGCUGGAGACACGAAACGUCGGAUCUACACACUGCACAGUCGUUCCCGGCCGUGUUACCGUUUCUCAUCCAGGUUGCGCUGAUGUAACAAUAACUGCCACUGUCUGCAGCGGCAUGUGCUCAUCGACGACCAAAGCAUUGCUGGUUCCUCCCUAUUACAGAAUGGCCCGGGUGAACUGCUGCUCUCCAAUUAGAGAAGUGCAGAAAGAUGUCUACAUGGUUUGCAGUAAACCCGGAAUUGGAACCGCAAACUCGCUGCAAAAGAAGACUGUCAACGUUCCAACAGAGUGUGUAUGCAGGCAGUGCUCUGCGUCCUAGAAAUUAGUAACUUGGUGUGAUCGGAAGUCACAUGCGGUACGUAGAGACUUUGCUUUACAACCUAGACUAGAUAAUUGAGGAAGCUAGCUAGAUAGGCUGUGAGUACAUUGAGGCGUGCAAGAAUAAACGAAUUGAUG
RNA transcript from Corticium candelabrum, 824 nucleotides. It is a transcript of the gene named bursicon-like, with no coding region annotated. The record is from RefSeq and is a predicted model, not a curated record. NCBI's taxonomy places the organism in Eukaryota, Metazoa, Porifera, Homoscleromorpha, Homosclerophorida, Plakinidae. The transcript has 2 exons.